Molecule: long non-coding RNA, 474 nt
Organism: Mus musculus (house mouse)
Lineage: Eukaryota; Metazoa; Chordata; Mammalia; Rodentia; Muridae
Product: predicted gene, 34474
Exons: 3
Source: RefSeq, a predicted model, not a curated record
CACAGAUAGACUUAAAGGAAGAACGCCCAUAUUGCCACACUGGGGAAGGCUUUGGGGCAUUUUUCUGCCCCCACAGGGCCAAGGAUGACACCGCCCCCUGUGGGCUGGGCCCACCCACGUCAAUCAUUAAUCAAGAAAAGGUGCUAUGGACUUGCCUACAGGCAACCUGAUAGACGUUCUUCUUCCAAGGAGCCCAAAGUUCCCUGACACUUCUCCCAAAGCAAACACACGCCGAAACCUCUGUCUGCUCCCCACCCGAACCUGUCCGUCACUGUCCUCAGCGUCUGCCUGUGCCCAGGCUCCUGACAAGUGUCUGCGAUGCUUACCCCUGUGAAACGUGGAUCCUGAGAUUACAGCUGAAGCAGAGAGAGGCAAUCCUAACCGUAAAGAAGAGGAAACAGACGGAUGUGAGAAAGAUCCUAGGCUGUAUUUACCAGUGCUCCAAUUAUUAUUAAAUUACAAAUUUUGUUAUUA